GACGAACGCUGGCGGCGUGCUUUACACAUGCAAGUCGAACGGAAAGGCCCUGCUUUUGUGGGGUGCUCGAGUGGCGAACGGGUGAGAAACACGUGAGUAACCUGGCCUUGACUUUGGGAUAACUUCAGGAAACUGGGGUUAAUACCGGAUAGGAGCUCCUGAUGCAUGGUGGGGGUUGGAAAGUUUCGGCGGGUGGGGAUGGACUCGCGGCUUAUCAGCUUGUUGGUGGGGUAGUGGCUUACCAAGGCUUUGACGGGUAGCCGGCCUGAGAGGGUGACCGGCCACAUUGGGACUGAGCUACGGCCCAGACUCCUACGGGAGGCAGCAGUGGGGAAUAUUGCACAAUGGGUGGAAGCCUGAUGCAGCAACGCCGUGUGCGGGAUGACGGCCUUCGGGUUGGAAACCGCUUUCGCCCAUGACGAAGCUUUGUGUGACGGUAGUGGGUAAAGGAGCAGCGGCUAGCUACGUG
This 469-nucleotide ribosomal RNA is filed under the name uncultured bacterium. RNAcentral's name for it is "partial 16S ribosomal RNA". It matches the Rfam family "Bacterial small subunit ribosomal RNA", at positions 28 to 507 of the family's 1533-position model. The record is from RNAcentral.